GACAGAGGGUGCAAACGUUGUUCGGAUUUACUGGGCGUAAAGCGCGUGUAGGCGGCUAAGCAAGUCGGACGUGAAAGCCCUCGGCUCAACCGGGGAAGUGCAUUCGAAACUACUUAGCUAGAGUCUCGGAGAGGAAGGUGGAAUGCUUGGUGUAGAGGUGAAAUUCGUAGAUAUCAAGCGGAACACCGGUGGCGAAGGCGGCCUUCUGGACGAUGACUGACGCUGAGACGCGAAAGCGUGGGGAGCAAACAGG
Molecule: ribosomal RNA, 253 nt
Filed under: uncultured Byssovorax sp.
Lineage: Bacteria; Pseudomonadati; Myxococcota; Polyangiales; Polyangiaceae
Description: partial 16S ribosomal RNA
Rfam family: Bacterial small subunit ribosomal RNA
Source: RNAcentral